CCGGCGCGCUGCAAGCUUUCGGCGCGUGGGGCCCUACGGAGACCCGAGGCUCUGCUCAGCGCGCCCCUAUCCCGCCUUCUUUGUCUUCCCACACUCUGGGGAUCCGCCUCGGGGCCUCAAGGACGGGGUUCUCGGGACAGGCUGUGAAGCCAGGCAGGAAGAGGAGAGAGGGUUACUUCAUAGAGAGCUUUCCUUGAGCACCUACUUAAUGUUGGACUCUUGGCGAGGAUGACCUCUCCCCACAAUCCAGGAGGCACUUCCAGGCCUGAGCGCUUCCGGGCACCCAUCGAAAUGCAGCCAGAGAAAUGUCCAUUCCCAUACUGGGAGGAGAUAAGAAAACUGAGGCUCAGAGAGGUGAAGUGACAAGUCCACGGUCACACCAGGGAAAGGGGAGAACAGAGGUUUAACUCCAGCUCAAGGUUCUUCUACUACACACAUCACGGCUGCUCUCAACCCAGGACCUCAGCCCUGUCACCUAGCCUUGGCCCCCGGUGGCCUCCCCAUGGCAGCCCUCCCCAGCUCCUGCAGCUACCGCCAAGCAUCUUCCAGGUCCAGCUCCAAUCCCUUCCUGUCUGGCCUGGACACUUGCCUACAGGUACAGAAGACCUGGACACAGAAAAAGGUGGCAGCCAGAGAGGAGGUAACUUGCCCAAGGUCACACAGAAAGCCUGAGCCAACCUGGCAUCCGGGCCAGGCACAUUCCAGGGUCACCUUCAGGCCCGGGAGGUGUGUGGCUGCCGGCCAGCUGGCCCCAGCUCCCCACCCUCUCAACGCACCCAUCUCUCCCAGGGAAAGGGCGCAGCAAGGGGGUGGGGGAGGGGCCCAGUGGCCCAGCUCCUGAGUGGGAUGGGCCAGGCCGGAAGCUGCUGCUGACAGCUCCUGGGUUUCUUGGCAACUGUCACUGCGCCUCCUCCCAUCCCUUAUCUCCACAUCGAGGUAACAAUAAUAAUCACAC
Molecule: long non-coding RNA, 955 nt
Organism: Felis catus (domestic cat)
Lineage: Eukaryota; Metazoa; Chordata; Mammalia; Carnivora; Felidae
Exons: 3
Source: RefSeq, a predicted model, not a curated record